RNAcentral lists this long non-coding RNA (634 nucleotides) under Cricetulus griseus (Chinese hamster). RNAcentral describes it as "lncRNA (ENSCGRG00015028942.1)". The record is from RNAcentral. Lineage: Eukaryota; Metazoa; Chordata; Mammalia; Rodentia; Cricetidae.
CUGGUGGGGUCAGGAGGCCAUCUGAUUCCUGGGCCUCCCCUCAAGACAAAGGGCCUCCUAGGAACCCAUGACUCUGGUCAUUGUAUUCAACGGAGAGAGUCGAGGCCCCUCCCUAAGCUUAUGGUUUUUGCCUUUAAAAAUUCCUGUGCCUGGGGGACGGGGCUGCUCUCUAGUCUGCAUGCUGAGAGAGCCCGUUUGUACAAACGUCCACCUUUCAUUAAAGCCUCUUGCUGUUUGCAUCAAGUUUCCACCUCUGAAAAGUGAUUGGGGUAGCUGCAGUGCUGGGAAAAGAUUCUGGAGGCCUGAGCUUCUGGAGGGUCUUAAUUUGGGGGCUUGUCUGGGAUUUUCGACCACCCCUCACCUUAAAUGAUCUUGGAGAGAAUGACUUGGGACAGAAUCUACCAGGACAGACCCCUUCCCUUUGAAAAACAGAGACUUUCCUGCUGCAGUGGCUCCAGGUAGGAAGUUACAGCCUGGCAGAGGAUAGUACAUUCUGGCUCCUUGCAGCCAAGACAUACUUUGCCUAAGAGCAGCCUGCACUGCCAGCCUCCAGGUGGCCUAGGAGUGGUCACCAUGGCUUCUUGGGAGAGGCAAAAGCCUGCUAAAGGCAGGCAUUCAGAGCGGGCCAAUGGGG